ACAACACUACCAAUCUGCUCUUUACACUUUCCUCCAAAGCAGCCCCGAUUUUCACUUCUUUCUUACCCUCGUCGGUACCCAAAUUUACAACCUCGAUCGGUUCUUCAUGCGGCUGAAUCACCUUCUCCUCUUGUUUCAACAGCCUGGCUAAUUCCCCUGGCAGUUCACAAUCUUCUUCGUCUUCUUCUUCAGCAAGAUAGAUUGGAUUGUCAAAGUCAU
RNAcentral lists this long non-coding RNA (219 nucleotides) under Lathyrus oleraceus (garden pea). RNAcentral's name for it is "Pisum sativum (pea) long non-coding RNA (PSAT_LNC010397)". Lineage: Eukaryota; Viridiplantae; Streptophyta; Magnoliopsida; Fabales; Fabaceae. The record is from RNAcentral.